UACGUAGGGUGCAAGCGUUAAUCGGAAUUACUGGGCGUAAAGCGUGCGUAGGCGGCUUUGUAAGACAGAGGUGAAAUCCCCGGGCUCAACCUGGGAACUGCCUUUGUGACUGCAAGGCUUGAGUGCGGCAGAGGGGGAUGGAAUUCCGCGUGUAGCAGUGAAAUGCGUAGAUAUGCGGAGGAACACCGAUGGCGAAGGCAAUCCCCUGGGCCUGCACUGACGCUCAUGCACGAAAGCGUGGGGAGCAAACAGG
Molecule: ribosomal RNA, 253 nt
Filed under: uncultured bacterium
Lineage: Bacteria
Description: partial 16S ribosomal RNA
Rfam family: Bacterial small subunit ribosomal RNA
Source: RNAcentral